AAAGCGAUGAUGCCAACACAUCAUAUGGAAAGCACAAUGUCUUUUCUCAUCAAAGACAUCCUGUAAGAAGUAAGCAUAUAGAAAUGGAGAAUCACGGCACAGACAACCAAAAGGUUGACCUCCUGCAAAUGGAAGCUAUAAGGAUGGUUGAAGAAGCAAUUGAUGAAAUCUCACUUCCAGAUAGUCAAGACGAUUCACCUGACGAUCAAUCAGUCACCAAAGAUAGUAUUCCAUUUCAGGAGCACCUUGAAAGGCAACCAGACGUACGAGGGGAGUAUUCCAUCUCAACUUCCAUUCUUCCUACCAAAAAGAGCAAUGGAGAAUCCAAGAAAAGCAAAAUGGAGCAGAUGACACUAGAUUCAAGGAAACCAUGCCAAAAUUCUGAGAAAAAUAAAACAGAAUUUGAGGAAAAUAAACCUAAACUUUCAACCCAGAAGAGCUGGGGUAAUCUGAAAAAGUUGAUCCUUCUAAACAGAUUUGUCAAGGCAAUGGAAAAGGUUAAAAAAUUCAAUCCAAGGGAGCCGCGAUUCUUGCCUUUUGACCCUGAAAAAGAGCCAGAGAAAGUUCAAUUAAGGCAUCAAGAAAUGGAAGAUAGAAAAAAUGCUGAUGAAUGGAUGCUCGAUUAUGCGCUUCAGCAGGUUGUUGCUAAACUAACUCCAGCUCGAAAAAGAAAAGUGGAGCUGCUUAUAGAAGCAUUCGAGACAGUCAUUCCUACCAUUGGAAGUUAAAUGUGGUUAAUGACUGAUUCAGUAGCUUAUUAGAUGCAAAAUCCAAAAAGCUUGAAGUUAUUUUGUGAGGUAAAAGCAGAUCUAGUACAGAAUUAAAUUUUAUUCAUAUCUACUUUAUCAGUCUAUAAUUACUCGAUGCAAAUUUCAAUUCGAUGGAAAUAGUAAAACAAGAAUGUCUAAAAGAAACAAGGACAUUUUAAACUAAAACACUUGACCUAUUCUUUGUUGCAGGUGCAGCAACAAGAAGCUAUGAUUUGAUAUUCAUUCCAAACAGCCCUGUAGCAAAUUUAAAUGGAGUUCAUCAUGCCAUCAAGAAAUACAGGUCAAGUAGAUAGAAGCAAAUCCAGUUUCAGUGGAGUUUGUAGAGGUGCAUAGUCGAAAAACAGUUUAGUGGGUUUGGAGCUUCAAAGUACCUUAGAGAAUAAGCUAUACUAGAUGUUUGUUUGGACAUUCCAUUGGUUAUUCAUUCUCCUUACUUGUGGAGAAUUGUACAGGUCCUACAAUAUGUUUUUUGUACCUGGAGAUAUACAUCCUAUUUGUUAUUCAUUCACAGUACUUGUAAAGAAGAAUGAUAAGUCCUACUAUAUGCUUUUGUAUCUGGGCACAUUCUUUAUGCUAUUUAGUCAUAGUGAAUAUUUAAGAAAUAGACAUAAGAAGUAUCAUUAUUUCUAUGCUUAUGCCAGGAAAAUCGUUAGUUUAUGAUAACUCCCACAAAACUCUUAUCUAUCCAGCGAUUGAGCCGCAACAACUAUGCCUAUAGAGGCUACAAAUUUUGAACAAAGAGAAGAGAAAAUGAAAUAAGAAAAUAUACCAAUAAUGUCGCUGGAGCUAAGAGGCUAAGCAUUAAGCAACCCAGAAAAGAAAGAACCUCAGAUUUUCUUUUCCAGCAAAUUCCCAAAUUCAGAGAGCAACCUAAAGGAAUUCACAAGUAUUGGCAGCCUUUCACCACUGCUGACCACAUCACAGCAACUUCAUACUCUAAAUUAAACAAAUCUUUGUGCAAAUUGCUGAUUAAAAUUCAUAUUUAAACCACUGAAGCAAAUUUCAAGAAAUCAGGUUCAAACCCGCUUCCUUAGAACCCAAACUAAACUAAAAUAUAUAUCAUAUUGUUACUAAUAAUCCAUUAAAACCACAAAAAUCUUAGUAGGCAACUCUAUUAGCAGAAUUGUAAUACAUUUUUAAGAAAAAGAUAGGAAAUCCAAGAUUCCACCUUAAUCCAAAGCAGUGAGAUGACUGUUUGUCACCAUAAUCAUCGCAGCAGCGCUCCAACUCUUUGAAUUGAAUUUGAUUUCUCCCUGCACUUUUAAUGGGGUUUGAUAUGAUCCGGCCCAACUAUUUGUUCCUGUUCAACUUAUUUUCUUCAGGCUCGAUCCCGCCUGAAUUUAAAAUACCUCAAUAGAGCCUGACAAAAUAAAUAGGUAGCUAAAAUAUUACUGCAUGAAGAUGGUCCCUUUAGGCUUCACCAAAAUGGGCAAAUGCUUAAAUUUCAUUUGGCCAAUGUGAAACCACCGAUCAUUGCUGCAAUAUGACAAAUAAACAUGUGUUAAAGUUACAGAAAUAAAAUUUAAGAACAGAUAUAUUUGGGCACCAUUGAAAUCUAAUAAACAAUAAUAUGGUAACAGUCCAAUUCACAAUUCACUUAAUUUAACACCUCAAAAGAACAGAAACCAAAAUCUUUCGGAGCCUAGUGUACUGAACUUUUCCAGGUGCAGAAACCAAAUUGAAUUAGUCGAGUUCUUUUGCUUUUCUGGAAAUCGCAUGCAUUUCAAAACAUCAACAUGAAGACAAAUUAACAAGGUAUAAAAAGAAAAAAAUAAUAAUAACAAGGCAUGCAUCAGAUAAACAUGAAGAUCUGUUCUUUUUGGAACAGAAAAACCAAUGAGAAUAUAAAAAAAUAAAAUUAAAACGAAAAUUAAUAAUAUCAGAUUAAAAAUACAUUACACACAAAUAUCAAUACUGAAUACACAAUAACCCAUUAUUGAAAAAGAAAUAUAUGUGUAAGAAUCCAUCAAACAAAGAAGUUUAAGGGAAAAGAGAAAAAAUCACAGAAAAAAUUGAAGAGAGAGUUAGAGGAAAUCCUCUGUUUUUUUUUUUUUAAAUUUAGUUCUUUGUUUUCUUUGUGAAAGCAGAGCUUAU
This 2864-nucleotide long non-coding RNA is filed under the name Ricinus communis (castor bean). RNAcentral's name for it is "long non-coding RNA (RCOM_LNC002525)". The record is from RNAcentral. Lineage: Eukaryota; Viridiplantae; Streptophyta; Magnoliopsida; Malpighiales; Euphorbiaceae.